Molecule: long non-coding RNA, 1803 nt
Organism: Coregonus clupeaformis (lake whitefish)
Lineage: Eukaryota; Metazoa; Chordata; Actinopteri; Salmoniformes; Salmonidae
Exons: 3
Source: RefSeq, a predicted model, not a curated record
CCACCACUGCUUUUCCACCACCAACUUCUAACCCUGGUGAAUCCUCAACUUGACCUCUAUGUGUGGUGACACCACCACCCUGGUAGAACCUAGUAGAACCUGGUAGAAUCUAGUAGAACCCAGGAGAACCCAGUAGAACCUGGUAAAGCUCUGUGGUGGGGAGGGCAAGCAGCAGGUAGGUCGUCCCGUAGGAAGUGGUGCAGUGAGUGUUGAGGUGUUGAGGCAGGUCAGCAGGUAGGUCGUCCUGUAGGAAGUGGUGCAGUGAGUGUUGAGGUGUUGAGGCAGGUCAGCAGGUAGGUCGUCCUGUAGGAAGUGGUGCAGUGAGUGUUGAGGUGUUGAGGCAGGUCAGCAGGUAGGUCGUCCUGUAGGAAGUGGUGCAGUGAGUGUUGAGGCAGGUCAGCAGGUAGGUCGUCCCGUAGGAAGUGGUGCAGUGAGUGUUGAGGUGUUGAGGCAGGUCAGCAGGUAGGUCGUCCCGUAGGAAGUGGUGCAGUGUGUUGAGGUGUUGAGGCAGGUCAGCAGGUAGGUAGCAGGUAUCAGGCCCACAUCAGACCGUGACAUAGCUAAUGACAUGGUGUCUUAGGGAGUGGAAAGCUGCCUAAGGAAAUGUUCAUAUGAGCAGAGCUAGGAUUGAAACCCCUAAACUGCCGUGUAAGAUGCUUUACUACAGGCCAAGCCCAGCCUCAGAUCACACUUUGUCCGCUGGGCUUUUACCUAAAUCAUGCAUUGAUGUCAUUUGGAAGUCUGGAGGACAGAGUUGUGUGUUGCAUAAGUCCUCAGACUUUCUGUGAGCUACUAGGUCUGACAGCCAUGCCAGAGAUCUAUGCAUAGUAUUCAUAACACUUCCAGGUCAGAGGUUAGAGUUUAGAGGUCAGUUGAUUCAGGCUCACACACUAAAUCUGACACCUGUCUAUCAAACUAGCCCUAACCCUACCUAACCCAGACCCUUAACCCUACCUGAGGGGCAGAGGUCAGGGUCAGAGAACACUGAGAAGACCUGUCAACCUCAACGUUCUGGGAGGAACAUCCACACAACCACCUCAUAACAUCUACACAAUCGUCACAGAACAUUCACACAACCAUCACAGAACAUUCAUACAAACAUCUCGUAACAUUCAUACAACCAUCUCAUAACAUUCAUACAACCAUCUCAUAACAGUCAUACAACCAUCACAGAACAUUCAUACAACCAUCACAGAACAUUCAUACAACUAUCACAGAACAUUCAUACGCCCAUCACAGAACAUUCAUGCGCCCAUCACAGAACAUUCAUACACCAUCUCAUAACAUCCAUACAACCAUCACAUAACAUUCAUACAACCAUCACAGAACAUUUACACAAAUUGUAAAAUUCCAUCCCACAGCCCACAGGCACACAGAUACAGCUAAACCAGACCAACUCAGACAGCUGACACAGAGUUAACUAAGUUAAUACAGAUCUGACUCAGGCAGGGGGACUGACAGACUAACGGAGUAAGGAAUGAGAGCUUGAGCCAGAGAUUCUCCAACUGCAGUAGGAUUGUAAAGCUAUAGGAUGUUGAUACAGGCGCCACUAGAAACCAUCUGACCCAAAUAUAGACCUUUUACAACCUGAUAAUGGAGCUCCUUUACACCAGGAGAGGAGGAGGAGGAGGAGAGGGGGAGAGGAAGGGGGGAUUCAGAGAACAGGGAAAUAUCAGAAGGGUGUAACCACUGACCUAUAUCAUGGAACAGAGAAGGGGUUCUAAGAGGCUGAUUGACAGCAGAGACCCGGGGGUGGAAACAGAGAGGGGGUUAGAACCAAUUACCUACAGGGUGGAAACAGAG